UAGCGUUAGUGAAGUGUUAGCCAGGCAGAGCGCACGACAAGCUGCCCAGCACACCAGAUCAUUAUAAACAACUAACGUUAAAAGAGUGCAUUAUAAGUGAAGGAUUUAACGUGGAGCGUUUGCUUUGCUGCAUCAGGACGUUGUCAAGAAUUUGAUUUGAUGUCGACAGAGAUGAAGGUUUGACCGAUUUCACGUCAAGCAUAGGAGCCCUACCACAAAUGCUGGAGAGUGCCGUCAAAUCCAGAUGGAAAGACUGAGGAGUUGAAAGCUGAUUCUACCCUGGAAAGGAGUAAUUUUCUCUUUUAGAGGGGAUGGAAGACCAAGCAGAUACUAUAUUAAAAAGUGCUACACAAUGAUGGUUGUUCUUGCAUAUCUUCUGCCACCGUUGCAUGGAAGUCGAUGCAAUGUUAAAUCUGAAAUUUCAUUUCUUUCAAUUUAAUUUUGUACCGCGUGGAGCCACUAUUGCAUCCCUCUGCAGCAGUUUUGAGACCGCAUCAAAGACCAGACCACAGCCGAUCUACAUUGGAAGUUUGAAGAGCACAGCAUGACAGUACAUCAUUACGAGGAUUGACAGAGUAACCAUUCCUGUGGAUGAGGGCCUGAUGUGCUGUGGACAAUAUAUUCUAGGUGUGAAACUUGUCCUGUCCACCACAGAUUAGUUUGGUCUUUUCUUUCUAAGACUGGAGCAUCUAAUAUUGAAACACCACAUUCUCUUCUUUUUAAAACUGACAUCGUUUCGCUAGAAAACAACCUCUUCUUCAGCUGUGAUUGCGUACAGCCCGUUUAAACACUUCAAAGACUUUUAAAACUGCAUUGAUUUGGACUUAAAAACGAUGG
This is a long non-coding RNA of Megalobrama amblycephala (Wuchang bream), 837 nucleotides long. RefSeq lists it as uncharacterized. The transcript has 5 exons. The record is from RefSeq and is a predicted model, not a curated record. NCBI's taxonomy places the organism in Eukaryota, Metazoa, Chordata, Actinopteri, Cypriniformes, Xenocyprididae.